RNAcentral lists this transfer RNA (88 nucleotides) under Amantichitinum ursilacus. RNAcentral describes it as "Neisseriaceae bacterium IGB-41 tRNA". It matches the Rfam family "tRNA". Rfam says of the family: Transfer RNA (tRNA) molecules are approximately 80 nucleotides in length. Their secondary structure includes four short double-helical elements and three loops (D, anti-codon, and T loops). The record is from Rfam by way of RNAcentral. Lineage: Bacteria; Pseudomonadati; Pseudomonadota; Betaproteobacteria; Neisseriales; Chitinibacteraceae.
GGAAAGGUGGCAGAGUGGUCGAAUGCGCUGGACUCGAAAUCCAGUAUGGGGCUACGCUUCAUCGAGGGUUCGAAUCCCUCCCUUUCCG